AGAUGCUUUUAGCCUGAAAAGGAGAAUAGAAAUGCAUUUUCUCUAAACAUACAAGAGCACUCAUUUCCAGAGAGAUCCUGGACUGGAGGGACAGGAGCAUGACCCAGGCUGUUCAUCAUGAAUAGUGGGGCCCGCUGGGAGCAUGCUCCUCUCCUAAAAUGUGCAGAACCCACAACUCCUCCUCUCUGUCAGGCUGGCUGGGGCUUCCAGGGAGCUCAAGAUAAAAUCCGGAGGCAAAGAGACAGAAGAACUAAAAAUCAGAGUGACCACCAAUGCAGCUAUGAAUCAGGUGGCAACAGCCAUGUGGAAGAAGCCAAGUGAAGGGCUAUGGGGACCUAGAAGACAGAGUUGUCACACAAUGGAAGAAUUGCAGAUCUCUGAGUCACCAUUUGGACAAGAACCUACUAGGACAGGUGCCUGAACAAGAACACUGGACAUUGUGUGAGUGAGAAACAAACUUCUAUUGUGUUAAGCCACCGAGAUUUUGGGUUGAUUUUUAUAGUAGCUGGUGUUGCUUACACUGACUAAUACAUCUUGAAAGUAAAUGAUGCAAAAUAAUUCUACUUAUUCACAGGGGGUGGUAUUUAUAAGGGAAAAGAAUAAUAGGGUGGUGUCAAUGUUGGGUCCUGAUAAGUAAGCAACAACAAGGAAGGGGCCUCAGGUAGGGAAGAACAAUGUUCUGAGAGACUGUUCAUCACAAACAACCUGCUAGCCCCACAUCCUGUUCUCAAAUACUUUGCUCAGCAUGUAGCCCCAGCAGCAUGACUUGUCUGCAUGUAGACCCUCCAGCAUGACCCUAUAAAAUUUCCCUCCAGCCACUGCCUCUUGGCAGACAGUCCCUUCUCUGCUGUGCUGCCCACUGCUUUCUUACAACAUUUUCUUUGUACUUUCUCUAAUAAAUCUGCCUUUCUUUACCCACAA
This 921-nucleotide long non-coding RNA is filed under the name Pongo abelii (Sumatran orangutan). RNAcentral's name for it is "lincRNA". Lineage: Eukaryota; Metazoa; Chordata; Mammalia; Primates; Hominidae. The record is from RNAcentral.